RNAcentral lists this ribosomal RNA (305 nucleotides) under uncultured bacterium. RNAcentral describes it as "bacterial SSU rRNA". It matches the Rfam family "Bacterial small subunit ribosomal RNA", at positions 334 to 656 of the family's 1533-position model. The record is from RNAcentral.
UUCACCUACGGGGGGCAGCAGUAGGGAAUCUUUCACAAUGGGCGAAAGCCUGAUGGAGCAACGCCGCGUGCAGGAUGAAGGCCUUCGGGUUGUAAACUGCUUUUAUAAGCGAGAAAUAUGAUGGUAACUUAUGAAUAAGCUCCGGCUAACUACGUGCCAGCAGCCGCGGUAAUACGUAGGGAGCAAGCGUUAUCCGGAUUUAUUGGGUGUAAAGGGUGCGUAGACGGGAAAUUAAGUUAGUUGUGAAAUCCCUCGGCUUAACUGAGGAACUGCAACUAAAACUGAUUUUCUUGAGUGUUGGAGAG